AAUGAACGCUGGCGGCAUGCCUAACACAUGCAAGUCGAACGGCCGGACGGUAAGCUUUUGCUCUUACGGGUGGCGACUGGCGGAUGAGUGACGCAUGCAUCGCCUUCUUCUAUUUCGUGGAGGAUUACGUAGAGCAACUUAUGCUAAUACCGCAUAUGUUGUACGGGUGGGAGCAGUGGAUAUUCGCAGCUUUCGCGUCUCUAUUAGCCGACGUCGGAUUAGCUAGUUGGGUAGGUAAGGGCACACCAAGGCGACGAUCCGUAGCUGAUCUGAGAGGAUGAUCAGCCACACUGGAACUGAGACACGGUCCAGACUCCUACGGGAGGCAGCAGUAGGGAAUCUUGGGCAAUGGGCGCAAGCCUGACGCAGCAACGCCGCGUGAGUGAAGAAGGUCUUCGGAUCGUAAAGCUCUGUUGUUAGGGAAGAACAGAUGUAGAAUAAACCCCGGCCGUUUUGACGGUACCUAAUGAAUAAGCACCGGCUAACUACGUG
RNAcentral lists this ribosomal RNA (492 nucleotides) under uncultured bacterium. Its description in RNAcentral is "partial 16S ribosomal RNA". It matches the Rfam family "Bacterial small subunit ribosomal RNA", at positions 29 to 507 of the family's 1533-position model. The record is from RNAcentral.